Long non-coding RNA from Hylaeus volcanicus, 2311 nucleotides. RefSeq lists it as uncharacterized. NCBI's taxonomy places the organism in Eukaryota, Metazoa, Arthropoda, Insecta, Hymenoptera, Colletidae. The transcript is spliced from 3 exons. The record is from RefSeq and is a predicted model, not a curated record.
UCUGUUUUCUGCAUUAUCGAUACUAGUUGUUUAGUAAUAUGUUCAGUAAAGUGUUCAGAGAUUUGUUCAGUCUGAUUCGAUUGCUGUUUAAAUAAAACGCUUCGCAUGUACUACAUAAGCAGGACUAAUCAAUUUUACACGUUGUUGAUUGAAAUAUCAAAGACACCAAGGGAAGAAGAAGAUGAACAGUGGGAAAACCUGUACAGGUCGAAUUGAAGCGAAGAGGGAUAACAUUUGAGAGCAUGGAAUUGGUCAAAGCAGAAACGUUGGAGGCUUUCAACAAGCUAACGCAAGAAGACAUCCAGCAUUGCUUUACACAUUGGAAAAAUCGGAUGGAGCGGUGCGAGGAUUGUCUAGAGGAAUAUAUAUUUAAAGCGAUCAAAUUUCAAUUGCAACUGGCGACGAAUAAAAAGUUUGAUGACAUUAGUUCGGUUAUUUGAUAGCCAUUCCUCGUAUUAUCCAAAGAACAUGGCUUACACCCGGAAGCUUUAGAAUACUUUCGUGGCUUACUGUACGUUUCUGAUCAAUGUGUGUUAAUCGUCUGGGCAUGUACAUGUAUCCGCGAUCACGUUUGUCGUUCGCGGAAAUUGUGAACGCAAUAUUGAGAAUAACGAAGGCUUGAUUGUCCCUUUGUUAUCAGAGCGCGAACAAUCCAUUUCGAGAUUAAAUGCUCUUUACGGCGAGGAACCUGUCGCGAGUAAUUACGGUGUUCAAUGUCGAAGACCCAGUACAAUGUUAUAUAGGAUGUUUCAAACUACACGGUCUGUCUAAAAAGAAACCGAACUUUUGCUAUUAAAAGAAAAAAAUACAAGUAAAGCUUUUACACACGCGUUUAUUUACUCAAAAUAAUCUCCCUCUGCGUCAAUACAGCGUGUAGACCGCGUAAUUAACAUUUCGAAGGACCUUUGCAGCUCCUGUUUAGGUAGCCCGUUUAGUACGGCGGUUACAGCGGCCUGAAUCUUCGAAUCGUUGCUAUAUGAUCCAAGGUAACAAUGCCAAUUCCAAUGAAAGGGACACAUUAUAGCAAUAUAUCGGAGAUUCAGGCCGCUGUAACCGCUGUACUAAACGGGCUACCAAAACAGGAGCUGCAAAGGUCCUUCGAAGGUCGUUAUAUUGUUUUUGCUUGAAUAUAAUAUGCAUCAUACCUUUUUAUACGUAUAACCAAACAUAUAAAUUUGAAACCUUAAUUUCAGUUUUACAUCCUGCAAAACUGUCAUCUAACGAAAAGACAAAUCUAAGAAUCAAAAUAUCUUCAUGAAUAUUACACAAAAAUGUUUGUACCGAGGCUGAUAAAUAUUAAUAAUUAUUAUUAAAUGAUUUACUGCGUAUUUUGGAACAUCGUACACUGUCGUCUACAGGUACAAAUCGCGUUGUCAUUUUGAACAACGAUAUUCAUAUUUUUAAAUCUUGAAGCAAGGAAAUUUUGACGAACUGAUUAAAAGUGCAGGUGAAAGCGCGAGGAAGGUGGAUUCGCGCGUAAUCAAUCAAACUCAACGGGAGCUUUCGCGGUUCUCUCGAUGAUAGUUAAUGCAGGAGGUGUGCCCCUCGACGUGAAUUGCUGCCGAGAUGAUUUCCUAUUGACGACAAAAGCGUCACGUUACACAAUGGACAUCCGUUUUCUUUGAUUUCACCUUUUCCGCGGGAACAGUUUUCGUUUCGUAUGCGUACGAGGAAUGCAAAUUAAACCGACUGGCCGCGUCCGAAAUAGUCGUCGAUUAAUUUAUGAAUUAUGCAGGCCCAAUCGCAUAAUUUGAUCACCUUGACGAUUUCCGGACCUUAGCGUACGAAUUCAAAUGUUCUUUUCGUCUUAGAUAAUUUCCUUUAGAAAAAGGAAUAUUAUAUCUCGUGAAUCUCUGAGAAUACUUUGCUUGUAAUACACAGUCACAAUUCAUCUUUGUUUCCAUUGAAAUAUAACAGGGAGAAUGCUAUGAAUUGUAAAGAAUUCUAUGAACAACCCCUGAAAAUUUGUAAAGAAAACUAUUAAAUAAAUUGCGUUCUGAAUGUUCUUAUUCAAGUGCCGACAAUUUCGUUAAUUUCAUUUUCUCAAUUUCAUGUACAGAAAUGAGCAGUGGACACGUGGAAAAUCUUCUAUAAAUAUUGAAAACCCAGUAGUAAGUCGAUCAUGACACUAGCAAACAAAAAUGUUUAUAUCGCAGAAACGGUUGACCUUUGGACCUAUGUUUACUACAGCUUUUUUACUCGGUACAAUACGCCCUAUACACCAUAUAAAUAUUGAAUGCUUUUUUUUUUUAACACGCUGUAUAUUUGAAGCGAUCAAAUUUCAAUUGUAAUUGGUGACGAAUAAAAAGCU